Non-coding RNA from Brassica napus (rape), 126 nucleotides. NCBI's taxonomy places the organism in Eukaryota, Viridiplantae, Streptophyta, Magnoliopsida, Brassicales, Brassicaceae. The record is from Rfam.
GUAAUAUAAGAUACGGUCUUUUACCUUUUAACUAAAAAAGCUAAGAGACGUCUCUUAAAUAAGAGAUAUAAGAGACGUCUCUUAGCUUUUUUUAGUUAAAAACUAAAAGACCGUAUCUUAUAUUAC